Molecule: ribosomal RNA, 849 nt
Filed under: Kocuria sp.
Lineage: Bacteria; Bacillati; Actinomycetota; Actinomycetes; Micrococcales; Micrococcaceae
Description: bacterial SSU rRNA
Rfam family: Bacterial small subunit ribosomal RNA
Source: RNAcentral
AGUCGAACGCUGAAGCACCAGCUUGCUGGUGUGGAUGAGUGGCGAACGGGUGAGUAAUACGUGAGUAACCUGCCCUUGACUCUGGGAUAAGCCCGGGAAACUGGGUCUAAUACUGGAUGCUACAUGUCACCGCAUGGUGGUGUGUGGAAAGGGUUUACUGGUCUUGGAUGGGCUCACGGCCUAUCAGCUUGUUGGUGAGGUAAUGGCUCACCAAGGCGACGACGGGUAGCCGGCCUGAGAGGGUGACCGGCCACACUGGGACUGAGACACGGCCCAGACUCCUACGGGAGGCAGCAGUGGGGAAUAUUGCACAAUGGGCGAAAGCCUGAUGCAGCGACGCCGCGUGAGGGAUGACGGCCUUCGGGUUGUAAACCUCUUUCAGCAGGGAAGAAGCCACAAGUGACGGUACCUGCAGAAGAAGCGCCGGCUAACUACGUGCCAGCAGCCGCGGUAAUACGUAGGGCGCAAGCGUUGUCCGGAAUUAUUGGGCGUAAAGAGCUCGUAGGCGGUUUGUCGCGUCUGCUGUGAAAGCCCGGGGCUUAACCCCGGGUGUGCAGUGGGUACGGGCAGACUAGAGUGCAGUAGGGGAGACUGGAAUUCCUGGUGUAGCGGUGGAAUGCGCAGAUAUCAGGAGGAACACCGAUGGCGAAGGCAGGUCUCUGGGCUGUUACUGACGCUGAGGAGCGAAAGCAUGGGGAGCGAACAGGAUUAGAUACCCUGGUAGUCCAUGCCGUAAACGUUGGGCACUAGGUGUGGGGGACAUUCCACGUUUUCCGCGCCGUAGCUAACGCAUUAAGUGCCCCGCCUGGGGGAGUACGGCCGCAAGGCUAAAACUCAAAGGAAUUGACG